AGAACGAACGCUGGCGGCAUGCCUAAUACAUGCAGGUCGAGCGAACACUUCGGUGUUAGUGGCGCACGGGUGCGUAACGCGUGGGAAUCUGCCCCUUGGUUCGGAAUAACAGUUGGAAACGACUGCUAAUACCGGAUGAUGACGAAAGUCCAAAGAUUUAUCGCCAAGGGAUGAGCCCGCGUAGGAUUAGCUAGUUGGUGAGGUAAAGGCUCACCAAGGCAACGAUCCUUAGCUGGUCUGAGAGGAUGAUCAGCCACACUGGGACUGAGACACGGCCCAGACUCCUACGGGAGCAGCAGUAGGAAUA
Molecule: ribosomal RNA, 307 nt
Filed under: uncultured soil bacterium
Lineage: Bacteria
Description: bacterial SSU rRNA
Rfam family: Bacterial small subunit ribosomal RNA
Source: RNAcentral